AAAAUCAGCUGCCUGCCAUAUUGUUAAUUUCCCACAAUGCACUGUGCGGAUGACGUCAAUUCGCAAGACACUUGUGUGGCUUUGCUACGUGGCAAUAGGACGCAUUGCACUAAGCUGCGUGGGCGCGAGUUUUUUGUACAACGGCAUUGCAGCCUGGAAAUAGGCCUUUAAGAGAACUAAAAGCAGGGAAAUGGAGGACAGAUCGAGGAAUCAAGAAGAGGGAGAGGUGGAAGAGCGCGGCGAGACACCCCCCCCAGUUCCUGUACUCCCCCCAGAUCAGGUCCCCCCUCCAGUUCCUGUACUCCCCCCUGUUCAGGUACCCCCUCCAGUUCCUGUACUCCCCCCGUUCAGGUACCCCCCCCAGUUGAGCUUGAGGGGAUAGGAGACGCUCCCGCCCACCUGGCAGCCCAAGGCAUACGUCCGGGCAUUCUGUAUAUCAAUUAUCUGUUGUCCCUGCUACCGCCAGAUGAAGCAGAUUUGCUCGAGGCUCAACUCGUGCAGAUAGUAGUCAGUGCGCUUUUGGCACGGUACCCACAGGGGGGGAGGUAGGGGGAAUUUUUGUUAUUGUUCAAGAGUUUUUAUUUUGUUUUAAUAGUUUAUGUUUAUUUUUCUGAAAGUUAGGCGGGGGAAUCCUCAAGUCCGUGCUUGACUGUUGUUUGCUGUGUUCUAUCCCCACACGCUUCAUUCUGUUUAUUCUGUACACCAACAGUUGUCGCAGUCGCCAUGAGGGUCAAUCUCUUGUCAAAUUCUCUGACGACACUGCACUGCUGUCUCCUUAGCGGGCCAGGGCAUACCCACGGUGUAGCUUUGGAGGAAUUCAUUGUCUGGUGCGAUGACAGCUUUCCAGAACUUAAUGUGAGUAAGACGAAAGAGAUUGUCUUUAACUUCCAUCGGAAUUCUCCGCCCAGGAGUAAAGUGUGGAGUAUGAACAGGUUAGCAUCAUCAAUACUUCGUUUGGACUGGUAUGCAUAUUGACAGGGAUCAAAACAAUUGUUAGUGGCUUGAAGAGUCAAUGCCUUGAUGAUUGUCUCAAAUACUUUCAUGACCAAUGUUGUUAAGGCCACUGGUCUAAAGUCAUUGAGUUGCCGAGCUGAAACUUUCUUCGGAACUGGGACAAUGGUAGACAAUUUCCAAGCGGCUAUGAUGGAGAGUGAAGAGGUAACCGAGUGGUGGUGGUGGUGGUGGGGGGGGUCGUAUAUGACAACAACAUACGUACUUCUUGUAUCUGGCACCACAGGCACUGUUACUUCUGGCACCACAGGCAUUGUCACAAGAGUUCUGAAUUGAUGGUUUGGGAGAGUAGCAUACCACCCUGGCGUUUCUUCUUCACUGUCGUCAUACUGAAGGAUGGCGCCUCCGGCAGUUGAAUGUCACAAUUUUCUAUAUAGUUUUUAACAUCGGUGUACAUUCCCGGCCAGUACACUCUGGCUUUUAACAGUGAAAUAGUCCGGUCAUAUCCUUGGUGACCCCUGCGGUCAUGCACUAAUGUGAGAACAUCGGGUCUGAAGGCGCUGGGAAGCACAAGUUGUUUUUAUCUCACCAGGUGUAGUGUCACUCACUCUUUGCAACAGCAGCUCGUCCUGACUAAACAGUCUUGAGUGCUGUUUGCUCAGUGCGCAUGCUUCGUGUUCCUGUGAAGGCGGAGGUAACUUUGGCCAGGCAUUAAUGCUAGCCCUGAGGAUACGAUCCUCAGCCUGCAAUGCCCUCAAUGUGGCGGUUGAAAGGUGGGGAAAGACUCCAAUAGAGGGUAUAAUGUCAUCAUCCAUGGACUGGUCAUACGCGUGCACAACACAUGGCUGCUGUGCACACCACAGCUCACACGCUUCCGAAAUCUCUACUGGAAUGGGAGUGCCGUUGGAGUCAGAGAGGUACACACCGGAAUGUGCACCGUCAGAUAUUAGAGGUCUAGACAAUGCAUCUGCAGGAUUCUGAAUGCCUGGUCGAUACACAACAGUCAUGUCAACUGUGCCAGUUGCGAUGCCCAUCUCUGUUCCACUGCUCCCAGCUUUGCAGUCUGGUAAUGGACAAGCGCGUUGUUGUCGGUGUACACGACGAACUGUGCGUCUAGCAGGUAGUGUCUGAACUUGUCAGUCACCGCCCACUUCAUCGCAAGAAAUUCCAGCUUCAUGCUGCUGUAAUUGCUGUCAUUUCGCUCUGUGGGGCGCAGACGUCGGUUGGCAUAGGUAAUAACCCGCUUUCUGCCCUCCUGCACCUGUGACAGAAUGGCAUCGAGUCCCUCGUUGCUGGCAUCGGUAUCUACAAUGAAAGGGCUGUGUGCAGUCAGCGUACCCUAGCACUGGUCCACCUGACAACACCUCCGCAGUCUGACACUUUCCAGUCAGGCCAGCUACACUUUCUUUCCCCGUCACCCUGUUACAGACGACGGGGGCCGGUGUCCCUAUCGUUCGCAGCAAUAGCACACAAGUGCCGCCGGUCGUGCCGUGCGGGUGGAGGGGACAUUACUUUGUUGUGUACUGUGAGGCUGGGAGGACUGACUCGUGCGGUUAGGCGAUCUAUUUCCUCCUCCUCCUCUCUCUCUACACGCCGUGCGGUCUUUAGAAGGUCGGCAACCACUCGGUUCGCAUCAUACUGAGUAUACAGAGAUAGUGUUUACAAAGGCAUACUCAGCAUGCGACAGUACAUGUCGUGACCUUCCAGUAGUCUGUUCCCCGCAUACUCAAUAUACAAAGCUCUACAAUAACAAGG
RNAcentral lists this long non-coding RNA (2706 nucleotides) under Pomacea canaliculata. RNAcentral's name for it is "uncharacterized LOC112576464". The record is from RNAcentral. Lineage: Eukaryota; Metazoa; Mollusca; Gastropoda; Architaenioglossa; Ampullariidae.